RNAcentral lists this ribosomal RNA (495 nucleotides) under uncultured bacterium. RNAcentral's name for it is "partial 16S ribosomal RNA". It matches the Rfam family "Bacterial small subunit ribosomal RNA", at positions 28 to 523 of the family's 1533-position model. The record is from RNAcentral.
GAUGAACGCUGGCGGCGUGCUUAACACAUGCAAGUCGAGCGAAGCACUUAAGUCUGAUUCUUCGGAUGAAGACUUUUGUGACUGAGCGGCGGACGGGUGAGUAACGCGUGGGUAACCUGCCUCAUACAGGGGGAUAACAGUUAGACAUGACUGCUAAUACCGCAUAAGACCACGGUACCGCAUGGUACAGUGGUAAAAACUCCGGUGGUAUGAGAUGGACCCGCGUCUGAUUAGGUAGUUGGUGGGGUAACGGCCUACCAAGCCGACGAUCAGUAGCCGACCUGAGAGGGUGACCGGCCACAUUGGGACUGAGACACGGCCCAGACUCCUACGGGAGGCAGCAGUGGGGAAUAUUGCACAAUGGAGGAAACUCUGAUGCAGCGACGCCGCGUGAAGGAUGAAGUAUUUCGGUAUGUAAACUUCUAUCAGCAGGGAAGAAAAUGACGGUACCUGACUAAGAAGCCCCGGCUAACUACGUGCCAGCAGCCGCCGUAA